UUGACAACCAGUCAUACCAUAUGCAGAA
Molecule: non-coding RNA, 28 nt
Filed under: Rattus norvegicus (Norway rat)
Lineage: Eukaryota; Metazoa; Chordata; Mammalia; Rodentia; Muridae
Source: RNAcentral